Manis javanica (Malayan pangolin) is the source of this 1146-nucleotide non-coding RNA. The record is from RefSeq and is a predicted model, not a curated record. Lineage: Eukaryota; Metazoa; Chordata; Mammalia; Pholidota; Manidae.
GUACUUUCUGGGAGCUUCGCGGCCGGCUGUCGGCUGAGUCCAGGCGCCAUGGAGGAUGAAAAGCGGCUGCUGCCGAUUAAAGAGGCCCUUCAGCUGGCGCAGCAGCCGCGCCGCAAUCAGGAAAGCUGGUGGUGGCGCUGAGCCGCACCCACAGCGAGGUAAGCGCAGCCCCGGCCUCCGCCGCCCCUCGCCCUCUCGGCCCAUCUGUGUGACCCCCGAGCGCUCUCUAGUAAUUCUAACAGUAUUUGUAAGAGAUGGUGGAGAAUUUUGAAUUUUAGUAUCAUUGUACCUUAUUUACGUGGAGGUCCGUACCGUAUUUAAUAAUCAUAGUAGUCUUGUGUUCCUUCAGGUUAGCAGUUCACUGAUUUUUAACAUAAAUCUGCAUUUCACCAUAUGGACUUCAAAACGUAUGUAAAUACGUAUUUCUGUUUCUGCCCUGUAAGGAUUUUAUUAAAACACAUUUCUUAGUUAUUAACAAAAUAAGCGCAAAGAAGUACAUGUUUGUUAAUAAACCGUUUUUCAGGUUGCUAUAUUUACUGCUUUUACAAUUUUAAGAAAUAGAAAACAAUGGUAGAUUUUUUUUUAAUUGAAAAAUUUUUCAUUUCAACUCUUAAGACUUCACAGGAUGUUGUCAGUCUUUCUUGCCCUCCCAACUGCUAAGUUUUUCACUUGCAGAAUUGAACAAAGACAGAUUUAAAGAUGUUUCUACUUCUCUCGGUGAUUUUUUUUUAAACUGUUUUUUGAUUAGUAAAUAUGUAUUUGACGUGGCUCAAGCUGAGUUAAAAGAAAUGCAAGACUCAGUACCUACUUUCCAUCCAGUACUCGUCCUCAUAGUCUUCUACAGAUUCAACAAUGUGAAGAAGAAUCAAAAGAAUCCUUUGUGAUGAAACUAUGCUGCCUUGCUCCAUGACAGAAAAAACUCAGAAAAAGAAGAGACAUGGGUAGAUGAUUACUUAAGUGUAUUUUCUAUAAUAAUUUCUUCUGAAUGGACAGGUAAAAGUUAUUAGAGAGUAAAGAUUUUAGUUUGAAUAAUUAUUACUAUUUUGGGAAUUCUGAGGUUAGUCCUGGGGAUAGACUUUCAUCAGUGUAGUUUGUGAAGGAUUUGUUUUGUAUUUAUGAUUGUCAAUAAAACUUUUAUGAAACAUU